GCUUCGAUAGCUCAGUUGGUAGAGCGACGCACUCGUAAUGCGUAGGUCGAGGGUUCAAGUCCCUUUCGGAGCU
This 73-nucleotide transfer RNA is filed under the name Eubacterium sp. RNAcentral's name for it is "tRNA-Thr". It matches the Rfam family "tRNA". From Rfam's summary of the family: Transfer RNA (tRNA) molecules are approximately 80 nucleotides in length. Their secondary structure includes four short double-helical elements and three loops (D, anti-codon, and T loops). Lineage: Bacteria; Bacillati; Bacillota; Clostridia; Eubacteriales; Eubacteriaceae. The record is from RNAcentral.